RNAcentral lists this ribosomal RNA (276 nucleotides) under uncultured bacterium. RNAcentral describes it as "partial 16S ribosomal RNA". It matches the Rfam family "Bacterial small subunit ribosomal RNA", at positions 82 to 354 of the family's 1533-position model. The record is from RNAcentral.
CUCCCGCCGGCGACCGGCGCACGGGUGAGUAACACGUAUGAAACCUGCCCGUAGCAGGGGGAUAAGCGGAAGAAAUUCCGUCUAAUACCGCGUAACAACCCGAGGAGGCAUCUCCUCGGGUUUAAAGGAAGCGAUUCCGGCUACGGAUGGUCAUGCGUCGCAUUAGCUAGUUGGCGGGGUAACGGCCCACCAAGGCGACGAUGCGUAGGGGUUCUGAGAGGAAGGUCCCCCACACUGAUACUGAGACACGGACCAGACUCCUACGGAAGGCAGCAG